UCUGGGUAAAUGCUGCAUAUAAAUAUAUGUAGAGGAAAGUCCAUGCUCGCACAAUCUGCGAUGAUUGUAGUGUUCGUGCUAAGGGAAAAAAUAACCUUAGGUAGUUAAACUAACGGCUUUGAAAUUUCCUUAAAUGGAAAAAGUAGAUAUAAAAGUGCCAAAGUGACGAAGAUCUUGGAAACGAGGGAAGUGGAACGUGGUAAACCCCACGAGCGAGAAACCCAAAUUAUGGUAGGGGAGCUUUUGCUUAGGAAUAGUGAACGAGGCAAAGGACUUAUAGUAAUAUAAGUAGAUAAAUAUUUACCGCUCAAGUAACUUGAGUACAGAACAUGGCUUAUAA
RNAcentral lists this RNase P RNA (340 nucleotides) under bovine gut metagenome. RNAcentral describes it as "Bacterial RNase P class B". It matches the Rfam family "Bacterial RNase P class B". From Rfam's summary of the family: Ribonuclease P (RNase P) is a ubiquitous endoribonuclease, found in archaea, bacteria and eukarya as well as chloroplasts and mitochondria. Its best characterised activity is the generation of mature 5'-ends of tRNAs by cleaving the 5'-leader elements of precursor-tRNAs. The record is from RNAcentral.